Molecule: ribosomal RNA, 505 nt
Filed under: uncultured bacterium
Lineage: Bacteria
Description: bacterial LSU rRNA
Rfam family: Bacterial large subunit ribosomal RNA
Source: RNAcentral
UACGAGAAGCUACUAAGGGCUUACGGUGGAUGCCUUGGCGUCAAGUGCCGAUGAAGGACGUGGGUCACUGCGAUAAGCCUCGGGGAGCUGUGAACAAGCGCCGAUCCGGGGAUUUCCGAAUGGGGAAACCCGCUAUUGCGAACCAAUAGCAUCACACAUUGAAUAUAUAGAUGUGUAGAAGGGCACCUGGGGAACUGAAACAUCUAAGUACCCAGAGGAAAAGAGAUCAUUCCCAGAGUAGUGGCGAGCGAAAUGGGAGUAGCCCAAACCGUUCUAGCUUGCUAGAGCGGGGUUGUAGGGCCAGACACAUAGAAGUUACAAAAUGAUUGGUUAGUGGAAUGGUGUGGGAAAGCCAACCAAAGAGGGUAAAAGUCCCGUACGCGAAAAUCAGUCAUCUUCUGUUUGGUACCUGAGUACUGCCGGGCGACGCUAAUCCGGCAGGAAUCUGGGGGGUCCACCCUCCAAGGCUAAAUACACUUGACGACCGAUAGUGAACUAGUACCGU